Molecule: long non-coding RNA, 439 nt
Organism: Gasterosteus aculeatus aculeatus (three-spined stickleback)
Lineage: Eukaryota; Metazoa; Chordata; Actinopteri; Perciformes; Gasterosteidae
Source: Ensembl
GGUGUUCUACCCAGACUGGUUAUGACCAGAGCCUCCUUGCAACCCACUACUAUCUCAUUGCUCCUAACGUCCACAACCAGACUGCUGUCAGCCAGACGGUGACCAUCAGCUCGGUGUGGACAUCAGUAGGUAUUAGAGAAGGGAAGUGCUUUUUGAAUCCAACGUGUGACCCAGGGGGGGUCUCCUUUAGUUGGCUGCAGGGCUGCUGCAGAGUGUUGACCACCAGAGCAUCCCCAGCCUCCCUGCCUCAGAGGUGCUCCAGAAACUGCUUUGGCCCCCGCAGCGCGACUGGAAGCAUCAUCUCCAGGCUGAAUCUCGCCCGGUUUUUAAACAGAAACAACCUUCACUCAUGCAGCAUGACCUCACAGCAAAUAGUCCAAAGAAGGAUCUCAGACCCCAACAUCUUGUGAAAGCUUGAAGAAGUGGACAGAAUGCUCGG